RNAcentral lists this transfer RNA (77 nucleotides) under Neobartsia pedicularoides. Its description in RNAcentral is "tRNA-Lys". It matches the Rfam family "tRNA". Rfam says of the family: Transfer RNA (tRNA) molecules are approximately 80 nucleotides in length. Their secondary structure includes four short double-helical elements and three loops (D, anti-codon, and T loops). Further hydrogen bonds mediate the characteristic L-shaped molecular structure. tRNAs have two regions of fundamental functional importance: the anti-codon, which is responsible for specific mRNA codon recognition, and the 3' end, to which the tRNAs corresponding amino acid is attached (by aminoacyl-tRNA synthetases). tRNAs cope with the degeneracy of the genetic code in two manners: having more than one tRNA (with a specific anti-codon) for a particular amino acid; and 'wobble' base-pairing, i.e. permitting non-standard base-pairing at the 3rd anti-codon position. Lineage: Eukaryota; Viridiplantae; Streptophyta; Magnoliopsida; Lamiales; Orobanchaceae. The record is from RNAcentral.
GUCCAGGUAGCUCGGCUGGUUAGAGCAAAGGUUGUUUUAUGUACCUUGUGUCAGUGGUUCGAAUCCACUUCUAAGCG